GACGAACGCUGGCGGCGUGCCUAAUACAUGCAAGUAGAACGCACAGUUUAUCCCGUAGCUUGCUACACCAUAGACUGUGAGUUGCGAACGGGUGAGUAACGCGUAGGUAACCUGCCUGGUAGCGGGGGAUAACUAUUGGAAACGAUAGCUAAUACCGCAUAAUAUUGAUUAUUGCAUGAUAAUUGAUUGAAAGAUGCUAUUGCAUCACUACCAGAUGGACCUGCGUUGUAUUAGCUAGUAGGUGAGGUAACGGCUCACCUAGGCGACGAUACAUAGCCGACCUGAGAGGGUGAUCGGCCACACUGGGACUGAGACACGGCCCAGACUCCUACGGGAGGCAGCAGUAGGGAAUCUUCGGCAAUGGACGAAAGUCUGACCGAGCAACGCCGCGUGAGUGAAGAAGGUUUUCGGAUCGUAAAGCUCUGUUGUAAGAGAAGAACGGGUGUGAGAGUGGAAAGUUCACACUGUGACGGUAUCUUACCAGAAAGGGACGGCUAACUACGUG
RNAcentral lists this ribosomal RNA (505 nucleotides) under uncultured bacterium. Its description in RNAcentral is "partial 16S ribosomal RNA". It matches the Rfam family "Bacterial small subunit ribosomal RNA", at positions 28 to 507 of the family's 1533-position model. The record is from RNAcentral.